This 110-nucleotide ribosomal RNA is filed under the name Periophthalmus magnuspinnatus. Lineage: Eukaryota; Metazoa; Chordata; Actinopteri; Gobiiformes; Gobiidae. The record is from RNAcentral.
UAUAGUGGCCUUGUCAAAGCCUGAUCUCAUCUGAUCUUUGAAGCAACGCAGGGUCGGACCUGGUUAGCACUUGGAUGGAAAACCACUGGGAAUUUCAGGUGCCACAGUGG